This 254-nucleotide ribosomal RNA is filed under the name uncultured bacterium. Its description in RNAcentral is "partial 16S ribosomal RNA". It matches the Rfam family "Bacterial small subunit ribosomal RNA", at positions 524 to 776 of the family's 1533-position model. The record is from RNAcentral.
UACGGGGGGAGCAAGCGUUGUUCGGAUUUACUGGGCGUAAAGGGCGCGUAGGCGGGCCAUCAAGUCAGAGGUGAAAUCCCCCGGCUCAACCGGGGAACUGCCUUUGAUACUGGCGGUCUGGAGUAAGGUAGGGGCAUGCGGAACUGAUGGUGGAGCGGUGAAAUGGUGUUGAUAUCAUCAGGAACUCCGGUGGCGAAAGCGGCGUGCUGGACCUUUACUGACGCUGAGGCGCGAAAGCCAGGGGAGCAAACGGG